GUGGGGAUAGCUCGGGGAACCUCGAUUAAAUCCCGCAUACGUCUUACGGGAGAAAGGGGGCAGUUUACUGCUCUCGCUAUUAGAUGAGCCUAAGUCGGAUUAGCUAGAUGGUGGGUAAAGGCCUACCAUGGCGACGAUCUGUAGCUGGUCUGAGAGGAUGAUCAGCCACACCGGGACUGAGACACGGCCCGGACUCCUACGGGAGGCAGCAGUGGGGAAUAUUGGACAAUGGGGGGAACCCUGAUCCAGCCAUGCCGCGUGUGUGAAGAAGGCCUUUUGGUUGUAAAGCACUUUAAGCAGUGAAGAAGACCUAACGGUUAAUACCCGUUAGCGAUGACAUUAGCUGCAGAAUAAGCACCGGCUAACUCUGUGCCAGCAGCCGCGGUAAUACAGAGGGUGCAAGCGUUAAUCGGAAUUACUGGGCGUAAAGCGAGCGUAGGUGGCUUGAUAAGUCAGAUGUGAAAUCCCCGGGCUUAACCUGGGAACUGCAUCUGAUACUGUUAAGCUAGAGUAGGUGAGAGGGAAGUAGAAUUCCAGGUGUAGCGGUGAAAUGCGUAGAGAUCUGGAGGAAUACCGAUGGCGAAGGCAGCUUCCUGGCAUCAUACUGACACUGAGGCUCGAAAGCGUGGGUAGCAAACAGGAUUAGAUACCCUGGUAGUCCACGCCGUAAACGAUGUCUACUAGUCGUUGGGUCCCUUGAGGACUUAGUGACGCAGCUAACGCAAUAAGUAGACCGCCUGGGGAGUACGGCCGCAAGGUUAAAACUCAAAUGAAUUGACGGGGGCCCGCACAAGCGGUGGAGCAUGUGGUUUAAUUCGAUGCAACGCGAAGAACCUUACCUGGUCUUGACAUACACAGAAUCUUGUAGAGAUACGAGAGUGCCUUCGGGAAUUGUGAUACAGGUGCUGCAUGGCUGUCUCAGC
Molecule: ribosomal RNA, 923 nt
Filed under: Psychrobacter sp. HI3Sg
Lineage: Bacteria; Pseudomonadati; Pseudomonadota; Gammaproteobacteria; Moraxellales; Moraxellaceae
Description: bacterial SSU rRNA
Rfam family: Bacterial small subunit ribosomal RNA
Source: RNAcentral